Molecule: ribosomal RNA, 493 nt
Filed under: uncultured Alphaproteobacteria bacterium
Lineage: Bacteria; Pseudomonadati; Pseudomonadota; Alphaproteobacteria
Description: bacterial SSU rRNA
Rfam family: Bacterial small subunit ribosomal RNA
Source: RNAcentral
GACGCUGGCGGCAGGCUACACUGCAGGUGUAAGCGCGCCUUCGGGUGAGCCGCGGACGGUAUAGUAACGCGUGGGAACGUGCCCUUCUCUACGGAAUAGCCUCUGGAAACGGAGAGUAAUACCGUAUACGCCCUUUGGGGGAGAGAUUUAUCGGAGAAGGAUCGGCCCGCGUUAGAUUAGGUAGUUGGUGGGGUAACGGCCUACCAAGCCUACGAUCUAUAGCUGGUUUUAGAGGAUGAUCAGCAACACUGGGACUGAGACACGGUCCAGACUCCUACGGGAGGCAGCAGUAGGGAACAUUGCGCAACUGGGGGCAACCCUGAACCCAGCAAUGCCGAGUGAGUGAAGAAGGGCUUCUGGGUCGUAACAAGCUCUUCUAUGGGGGAUGAUGAUGACGGUAACCCCAUGAAAUAAGAACCGGGUUAAACAUACGUGCCAGCAGCCGAGCGGUAAUAAACAAGGAGUGCCAGCGUUCGGUCGGAAUUACCUGGGC